RNAcentral lists this ribosomal RNA (253 nucleotides) under uncultured bacterium. RNAcentral describes it as "partial 16S ribosomal RNA". It matches the Rfam family "Bacterial small subunit ribosomal RNA", at positions 524 to 776 of the family's 1533-position model. The record is from RNAcentral.
UACGAAGGGGGCUAGCGUUGCUCGGAAUCACUGGGCGUAAAGCGCACGUAGGCGGAUUCUUAAGUCAGGGGUGAAAUCCUGGAGCUCAACUCCAGAACUGCCUUUGAUACUGGGAGUCUCAAGUCCGGGAGAGGUGAGUGGAACUGCGAGUGUAGAGGUGAAAUUCGUAGAUAUUCGGAAGAACACCAGUGGCGAAGGCGGCUCACUGGUCCGGUACUGACGCUGAUGUGCGAAAGCGUGGGGAGCAAACAGG